GACGAACGCUGGCGGCGUGCUUAACACAUGCAAGUCGAACGGAAAGGCCCUGCUUUUGUGGGGUGCUCGAGUGGCGAACGGGUGAGUAACACGUGAGUAACCUGCCCUUGACUUUGGGAUAACUUCAGGAAACUGGGGCUAAUACCGCAUAGGAGCUCCUGCUGCCUGGUGGGGGUUGGAAAGUUGCGGCGGUGGGGGAUGGUCUCGCCGCUUCUCAGCUUGUUGGUGGGGUAGUGUCUUACCACGGCUUGGACGGGUAGCAGGCCUGGGGGGGGGACCGGACACAGUGGAAUGGAGAUGCGGCACAGACUCCUAUGGGAGGCAGCAGUGGGGAAGAGUGCACAAUGGGCGGAAGCCUGAUGCAGCAACGCCGCGUGCGGGAGAACGGCAUUCGGUUUGUAAACCGCUUUCGCCUGGGACGAAGCGUUAGUGACGGUAAUGGGUAAAGAAGCACCGGCUAACUACGUG
This 468-nucleotide ribosomal RNA is filed under the name uncultured bacterium. RNAcentral's name for it is "partial 16S ribosomal RNA". It matches the Rfam family "Bacterial small subunit ribosomal RNA", at positions 28 to 507 of the family's 1533-position model. The record is from RNAcentral.